RNAcentral lists this small nucleolar RNA (139 nucleotides) under Castor canadensis (American beaver). Its description in RNAcentral is "Small nucleolar RNA SNORA29 (ENSCCNG00000024829.1)". It matches the Rfam family "Small nucleolar RNA SNORA29". From Rfam's summary of the family: ACA29 is a member of the H/ACA class of snoRNA that guide the sites of modification of uridines to pseudouridines. The record is from Rfam by way of RNAcentral. Lineage: Eukaryota; Metazoa; Chordata; Mammalia; Rodentia; Castoridae.
UUUCCCAUUUGACUACCGCAUUUUCUCCUAUAAUAUAUUUCAGUGGCUAUGCUAAUGAAAUAGAUUAAAGAUGCCAUGAUCUGAAGUGGGAGGAUUUUUCAGUGUCCUGUUUCUAUGUGAAAUGACUGAACAGAAAAUA